GACGAACGCUGGCGGCGUGCUUAACACAUGCAAGUCGAACGGAAAGGCCCUGCUUUUGUGGGGUGCUCGAGUGGCGAACGGGUGAGUAACACGUGAGUAACCUGCCCUUGACUUUGGGAUAACUUCAGGAAACUGGGGCUAAUACCGGAUAGGAGCUCCUGCUGCAUGGUGGGGGUUGGAAAGUUUCGGCGGUUGGGGAUGGACUCGCGGCUUAUCAGCUUGUUGGUGGGGUAGUGGCUUACCAAGGCUUUGACGGGUAGCCGGCCUGAGAGGGUGACCGGCCACAUUGGGACUGAGAUACGGUCCAGACUCCUACGGGAGGCAGCAGUGGGGAAUAUUGCACAAUGGGCGGAAGCCUGAUACAGCAACGCCGCGUGCGGGAUGACGGCCUUCGGGUUGUAAACCGCUUUCGCCUGUGACGAAGCGUGAGUGACGGUAAUGGGUAAAGAAGCACCGGCUAACUACGUG
RNAcentral lists this ribosomal RNA (468 nucleotides) under uncultured bacterium. RNAcentral's name for it is "partial 16S ribosomal RNA". It matches the Rfam family "Bacterial small subunit ribosomal RNA", at positions 28 to 507 of the family's 1533-position model. The record is from RNAcentral.